GAUGAAGAACGCAGCGAAAUGCGAUAAGUAAUGUGAAUUGCAGAAUCCAGUGAAUCAUCGAAUCUUUGAACGCACAUUGCGCCCGCCAGCAUUCUGGCGGGCAUGCCUGUUCGAGCGUCAUUUCAACACUCGACCUCCCCUUGGGGAGGUCGGCGUUGGGGACCGGCAGCACACCGCCGGCCCUGAAAUGGAGUGGCGGCCCGUCUGCGGCGACCUCUGCGUAGUAAUACAGCUCGCACCGGAACCCCGACGCGGCCACGCCGUAAAACACCCAACUUCUGAACGUUGACCUCGAAUCAGGUAGGACUACCCGCUGAACUUAAGCAUAUCAAUAAGCGGAGGA
RNAcentral lists this unclassified non-coding RNA (343 nucleotides) under soil metagenome. RNAcentral describes it as "partial contains 5.8S ribosomal RNA, internal transcribed spacer 2, and large subunit ribosomal RNA". The stretch from base 1 to 120 matches the Rfam family "5.8S ribosomal RNA", at positions 35 to 154 of the family's 154-position model. The record is from RNAcentral.